Molecule: ribosomal RNA, 468 nt
Filed under: uncultured bacterium
Lineage: Bacteria
Description: partial 16S ribosomal RNA
Rfam family: Bacterial small subunit ribosomal RNA
Source: RNAcentral
GACGAACGCUGGCGGCGUGCUUAACACAUGCAAGUCGAACGGAAAGGCCCUGCUUUUGUGGGGUGCUCGAGUGGCGAACGGGUGAGUAACACGUGAGUAACCUGCCCUUGACUUUGGGAUAACUUCAGGAAACUGGGGCUAAUACCGGAUAGGAGCUCCUGCUGCAUGGUGGGGGUUGGAAAGUUUCGGCGGUUGGGGAUGGACUCGCGGCUUAUCAGCUUGUUGGGGGGGUAGUGGCUUACCAAGGCUUUGACGGGUAGCCGGCCUGAGAGGGUGACCGGCCACAUUGGGACUGAGAUACGGCCCAGACUCCUACGGGAGGCAGCAGUCGGGAAUAUUGCACAAUGGGCGGAAGCCUGAUGCAGCAACGCCGCGUGCGGGAUGACGGCCUUCGGGUUGUAAACCGCUUUCGCCUGUGACGAAGCGUGAGUGACGGUAAUGGGUAAAGAAGCACCGGCUAACUACGUG